RNAcentral lists this ribosomal RNA (405 nucleotides) under uncultured bacterium. RNAcentral's name for it is "bacterial SSU rRNA". It matches the Rfam family "Bacterial small subunit ribosomal RNA", at positions 29 to 424 of the family's 1533-position model. The record is from RNAcentral.
AACGAACGCUGGCGGCGCGCCUAAUACAUGCAAGUCGAGCGAGAAGACGUAGCAAUACGUUUGUAAAGCGGCGAACGGGUGAGGAAUACAUGGGUAACCUACCCUCGAGUGGGGAAUAACUAGCCGAAAGGUUAGCUAAUACCGCGUACGCUCCUUGGACUUCGGUUCAGGGAGGAAAGCGAUACCGUGGGUAUCGCGCUCUUGGAUGGGCUCAUGUCCUAUCAGCUUGUUGGNGAGGUAACGGCUCACCAAGGCUUCGACGGGUAGCUGGUCUGAGAGGACGAUCAGCCACACUGGCACUGCGACACGGGCCAGACUCCUACGGGAGGCAGCAGUAAGGAAUAUUGCGCAAUGGGCGAAAGCCUGACGCAGCGACGUCGCGUGGGGGAUGAAGGUCUUCGGAUU